RNAcentral lists this ribosomal RNA (465 nucleotides) under uncultured bacterium. Its description in RNAcentral is "partial 16S ribosomal RNA". It matches the Rfam family "Bacterial small subunit ribosomal RNA", at positions 28 to 507 of the family's 1533-position model. The record is from RNAcentral.
GAUGAACGCUGGCGGCGUGCCUAACACAUGCAAGUCGAGCGGAGAAUUGUUGCUUGCACCAAUUCUUAGCGGCGGACGGGUGAGUAACACGUGGGUAACCUGCCCUAAACAAAGGGAUAACAAUGAGAAAUCAUUGCUAAUACCGUAUAAGCUUACACUAUCGCAUGAUAGAGUAAGAAAAGAUUUAUCGGUUUAGGAGGGGCCCGCGUCUGAUUAGCUAGUUGGAGAGGUAACGGCUCACCAAGGCGACGAUCAGUAGCCGACCUGAGAGGGUGAUCGGCCACAUUGGGACUGAGACACGGCCCAAACUACUACGGGAGGCAGCAGUGGGGAAUAUUGCACAAUGGAGGAAACUCUGAUGCAGCAACGCCGCGUGAAGGAAGAAGGUUUUCGGAUCGUAAACUUCUAUCUACAGGGAAGAAAAAAAUGACGGUACCUGAGUAAGAAGCCCCGGCUAACUACGUG